CAAAAAGUGAAAGGUGGAGGGAGCUACCCAGAGAAGAGAAAACCAGUGAGGGCAAGAGGAGGCUAAGUGGCAAAGAACAAGUUUAAAUUUUGCUGACUUCAGUGUCUAGCUAUUGGAUCUUGUUAGCUACAAUGGAACAGUUCCAACAGGAGAGGCUGAGGGAGCCUUACAUCAGAAUAUCCCAUAGCCAACUGGUUGGAGUACUCACCUCAGAGGUGGCAAGGCCUUGUUCAAAUUCCUUCUUCCCAUCAGAUGGAAGGGGGACUUGAGCUGAGGGUCUCCCACAUCCCAGAUCUUGCUACCAUCGUUAUUGCCUUUGUCAAUUCAAGACGAGACUAUUGCCGUGAGUUCAGAUGGGGCUACAUCUUAAAACUAUUUGGAACCUGGAACUGGACAGAUUUCAGCUAUCUCCUUGGAAAGUGGGAUGUCUUAUGGAGAUGGUACAAGGGAUGAGCUGAUUAUAAUGCAUUUUAUUUUUGUAAAUUUAAAUAAUUGGCAGAGUGUUCAGAGCCUGUGUAUGGAUGCUUUUAAAAAAUAUCAGUUUGGCCCACAGUACAGAUGGAAUUUAGAAUAGAAGAGAAUGUUUCUUCUUUUUUUACAUGAAAUAUCCCUUAUUCAGAUAACUACAAAUUUUAAAAUGUACUGACCAAGAUUAGAUAGACUAUUGCUUUCAUUUUAUUACUCCGUAUGGACCUAAUCCUCCAAACACUGAUGAGCAUAAGUAACUCUGUCUCUGAGUUUUACCUGAUUGAACUGAAUGGUAACUCAUGUGAGUAAAGGUAUGUGUGUGCAGGACUGAGACCUAAGUAGAAAUAGCAGGGAUAUGUCUGAUAUUCUUUGUUUACCCUCUUUCAAUAAAGCA
Long non-coding RNA from Mauremys reevesii (Reeves's turtle), 862 nucleotides. RefSeq lists it as uncharacterized. The transcript is spliced from 3 exons. NCBI's taxonomy places the organism in Eukaryota, Metazoa, Chordata, Testudines, Geoemydidae. The record is from RefSeq and is a predicted model, not a curated record.